AUGGCAGCAUCGUCCGCCGGUACCUCCUCGUCGUCGCGGGCAAUCCUAUCCCACCGCAUCCCCGACCCAGGUUUCUCCACCGAAGCGUCCUCCUCCUCGCCCUCGGCGCGCGCUGAUGGGAGCGACGAGGACAUGCUCAACCUGGACUUCCCGUGGGUGGCGGCGGCCGAGGCGGAAUCCAUACUGGAGGACGCCGCUGCUACGGAGAGAAUUCACCUUCGCGCCGCGGAGGAGGAUGAAGAGGGGAUAAGAGUCAACCAGGAGCGACAGCAGGACGAGCUGAUGGCAUUGGAAGCAAUAUAUGGGGAUGACCUGGUUGAAUUUAAAAGCAAAGGAGGGCUCCGUUUUUUCCAGGUGUACAUACGCUACGACUUGCAUCACGGCUCUCAAGUAUGCGCUAAGUUUUCUUCUGCCGAUGGAGGAUGCCCUCAUGAUGGUAUAGAAGAAGAUGGUGAUGAACCAGAGGAUUAUUCUUGCACUUUCAACCUUGACCACUUGCCUCCUUCGGUAUUGACAUGCUUACUUCCUCCGUGGUAUCCUAGCAAAGACCCCCCAUAUUUUACAAUCACUGCCAAAUGGAUGGAUGGGUCUCAAGUUUCUCAGAUCUAUGAGAUGCUUGAUGCCAUAUGGGUAGAGUUCCCGGGGCAGGAAGUGGUAUAUCAGUGGGUUGAGUGGAUCCGCAAUUCGUCUUUGUCACACCUCUGGAUUGAUGGCAAAAUAAUAUUAGGUCCAGACAGUCCAGCAAAGAAAACGGAUAGCCGUGCAAUCUCAAGAGCCAUCCCAUUGGAUUAUGUAAUCCCUUCGAUGCUCAGUUACAGUAGUAAGAAGCGUCCUAAAGAUUUUCUUGAAGAUCUUCAUAUGUGCAUGAUAUGCCUUAACGAGAGCAAUGGUUCGAACUUCAUCCAGCUGCCAUGCCAACACUUGUUUUGUGUCAAGUGCAUGGAGACCUUAUGCCGGUUGCAUGUGAAGGAAGGUAGUGUGUUCCGAUUGGUGUGCCCCGACACCAAGUGCAACGCUUCUAUUCCGCCAUAUCUGCUAAAGAAUAUUCUUAGGGAAGAAGAAUUUGAACGUUGGGAUAGGCUUGUUCUUGAGAAAGCAUUGGGCUCAAUGUCAGACGUGGCUUACUGUCCAAGGUGCUCGAUUGCUUGCUUGGCAGACGAGGAUAAAAACGCACAAUGUCCAAAAUGUUCCUUUACCUUCUGCUCAGUUUGCAAGGAUCCACGCCAUCCAGGGAAACAAUGUUUAACUCCGGAACAAAAGCUCCAGCGCCGUCAGGCAUCAGGCAAGUUGGCUGUGAGGGAGAUGGUGCAGGAAAUGUUGAUGAUAAAGACGUUGUACAGCGAUGCUAGGGCAUGUCCACAUUGUCGGAUGGCCAUUAGCAAAACUGAAGGGUGCAACUUAAUGUAUUGUGUGAACCGUGGCAAGUCAUUUUGCUACCGUUGUGGCAAGGUCAUGGGUGAAGGCUUUUCUGAUCAUUUCAGGAAAUGUGGGCUGUAUGCGCCUAGAGAAGAAUCCGAUACAAAGGAUUUGCAGAAGCAACUGGAGAAGUUAGAAACCGGGAAUCAUAGGGUUCAGAGGCAACCGGUAGGUAGUACCGUAAAAUGCCCGAAAUGCGGCCAGAAAAUUUUCAAGGAUAAUGCUGAAUAUAUCUUCUGCGGGGCGUGCCAAGCCAGCUAUUGUACCCUGUGCAAAAAGCGGGUCGAGUUUACAAGGCAACAUGGGGCAGGGGGGCACUGGGGGUCACCGGAGUGCGUGGGGAUAACUUUCUAG
Molecule: ribosomal RNA, 1770 nt
Filed under: Triticum aestivum (bread wheat)
Lineage: Eukaryota; Viridiplantae; Streptophyta; Magnoliopsida; Poales; Poaceae
Description: partial small subunit ribosomal RNA
Source: RNAcentral